GAGAGGAAGUGCGCCCAACGCCAUAGGGAGGUCAAGAGAGUCAAGGAUAGAAACAAAUGUGUCCAUUAGAUUAGCAACCAAGAAGGACUUAGAGCGCUCAGCGCAAGGAAUUUCUGUGAAGUGGGAGAGACAGACUGCAGGGGACGAGGACAGACUUAUCCUCUGAAUUUUGAAGAAGGCAGCGAGCACGGUCCCUCGGCUCCUGCCUCUCCUCUUCUGGAGUCUGUCUGUUUGCAUGAAGCAUGUGUGUUCAUCUGCUCAAGACUUCAGCAGUGAAGGCCCCUGCCCCUGUGGGCAAGACCUGUGGGUUUCCUGCCUUGCCUGUGACUGGCGUCUCCCUGAUACUGGACACCACCCAGCUGUUGGAGACCCUGGAGGCCGAGUCUGAGGCUCCGACAUUGCAAUUCAAACCCCAAAGCACAGCGGAUCUUCGUCCUGCUUUCAGAGAAGUCAUUAGCUUCAUUUUUUCUUUGCUGGACACUGUAGCCGACCCCACUGGAGAUAAGAAGAAACAGAAUGUCUUCUGUCUUCCCUAGGACAGCUGCAUCAGC
RNAcentral lists this long non-coding RNA (551 nucleotides) under Equus asinus (donkey). RNAcentral's name for it is "lncRNA (ENSEASG00005030769.1)". The record is from RNAcentral. Lineage: Eukaryota; Metazoa; Chordata; Mammalia; Perissodactyla; Equidae.